Molecule: non-coding RNA, 135 nt
Organism: Triticum aestivum (bread wheat)
Lineage: Eukaryota; Viridiplantae; Streptophyta; Magnoliopsida; Poales; Poaceae
Source: Rfam
UUAGUACUCCCUCCGUCCUAAAAUUUUUGUCUUAGAUUUGCCUAGAUACAAAUGUAUCUAAUACUAAAACAUGACUUGAUACAUCUAUAUUUAGACAAAUCCAAGAGAAGAAUUUUGGGACGGAGGGAGUACUUU